This 446-nucleotide ribosomal RNA is filed under the name uncultured bacterium. RNAcentral describes it as "partial 16S ribosomal RNA". It matches the Rfam family "Bacterial small subunit ribosomal RNA", at positions 338 to 795 of the family's 1533-position model. The record is from RNAcentral.
CCUACGGGAGGCAGCAGUCGAGAAUCAUUCACAAUGGGGGAAACCCUGAUAGUGCGACGCCGCGUGGGGGAAUGAAGGUCUUCGGAUUGUAAACCCCUGUCAUGUGGGAGCAAAUUAUAAAGAUAGUACCACAAUAGGAAGAGACGGCUAACUCUGUGCCAGCAGCCGCGGUAAUACAGAGGUCUCAAGCGUUGUUCGGAAUUACUGGGCGUAAAGCGUGCGUAGGCUGUUUCGUAGGGCGUGUGUGAAAGGCGCGGGCUCAACCCGCGGACGGCACAUGAUACUGCGAGACUAGAGUAGUGGAGGGGGAACCGGAAUUCUCGGUGUAGCAGUGAAAUGCGUAGAUAUCGAGAGGAACACUCGUGGCGAAGGCGGGUUCCUGGACAUUAACUGACGCUGAGGCACGAAGGCCAGGGGAGCGAAAGGGAUCAGAUACCCGGGUAGUC